UGCCAGCCGCCGCGGUAAUACGGAGGGUGCAAGCGUUGUUCGGAAUUAUUGGGCGUAAAGAGCAUGUAGGCGGACUAUUAAGUCUGGCGUGAAAGCCCGGGGCUCAACCCCGGAAGUGCGUUGGAUACUGGUAGUCUUGAGUAUGGGAGAGGAAAGUGGAAUUCCGAGUGUAGGAGUGAAAUCCGUAGAUAUUCGGAGGAACACCAGUGGCGAAGGCGGCCACCUGGACGGUGACUGACGCUCAGGCCCGAAAGCGUGGGGAGCAAACAGGAUGAGAUA
Molecule: ribosomal RNA, 279 nt
Filed under: uncultured bacterium
Lineage: Bacteria
Description: partial 16S ribosomal RNA
Rfam family: Bacterial small subunit ribosomal RNA
Source: RNAcentral